ACGGGGGAACUCAAAUUCCACUCUUACCGGGGUGGCUUUUCUGAUAGUGUAAAUAGCCUCAAGAAUAAGAGCUGGGCAAGACCGGUGCCAGCAGCCGCGGUAA
Molecule: ribosomal RNA, 103 nt
Filed under: uncultured archaeon
Lineage: Archaea
Description: partial 16S ribosomal RNA
Source: RNAcentral